AAAAGUCAUAUUUUUUAUUACUUUUAAUCAGAUAAAUCCAAGUUCCUGCUAUUUAGUGGAUGACACCAACUGCACAGUAUUUCCCAACGAUGAUGGAACUUUUUCAUCAUUCCAACUCACACUGAAUGCCCAUUAUGCGGUAAAUGGCGAUGAUAUGGUUUCCACUGGGAAUGAACUGGCGUCUUCUUUAAAUAAUGCAAGUUCGUCACAGUUUUCAUUUGCAAGAAACAGAUCAACAACUGUUUCCCCGUCCCGCUUGCCUACAUUCCAAAGACCUGGAAAAAGCUACCUACGUCAAAUUUACAUAGGCUCAGUUCAAGGUUCCAACAUCCUUUUAGACAGGACAAUUUUGAUUAAAUUUAACACACAUGAGGCUAAUGUUCCAGAUAUUAUAGCAAAAUUCUCAGAUGCAGUAUACGAGGAACAAGAAGACAUCGAAGAUUUUGUAUUGACAGAUACUAAGGGCAAUCAAAUACUAGAUACAGAGGCAACAAGAGGACUAGGAUACUGGAAAGGCAGUGCCCGGAAAAUUGUUGGCCUUACUUUAGCAGACUAUAACUCGUUCAAGAACUCAACAUUGAGGCGGACAAGGACAACAGAUCCCGAGGAUAAGAAAAGAAAAUUAGAAGAUAUUGAGGAAAAAUUAAAUGAUAUAUAUAAUGCUGGAAAAAAGCUGAAAUCCAUUUCUGAUGGAAUAGAUACCAUUUUUAAGCAGGUGUCUUCACAGACGACCGUCAGGUUAUCAGGUCUGCAGGCAGAGGCGAUAAAAAAUAGUUUUACGUGCUUGAUUUGCAAAGAUUUACUUAAGGAGCCCAUGUUCGCUAAAUGCUGCAGCACUAUUGUAGGCUGCAAGGUCUGUGUGGAAGAGUGGCUGCGAAAUUCAACACAGUGCCACAAAUGUCGCAGUAGAGGUGCGAAGGACAAGGUAUUCCCCAUAGUGGGAAUUGACGAUGGUCUAGAGGUGCUACAAGCCAUUGUCUCUGAAUAAGAAGGAUAUCUGAACAGGAUUGAUGCAGAAGCAGUAACAAUUGGUUGUAACCUUUAUUUUUAUUUUUGUAAACA
Molecule: long non-coding RNA, 1062 nt
Organism: Mytilus californianus (California mussel)
Lineage: Eukaryota; Metazoa; Mollusca; Bivalvia; Mytilida; Mytilidae
Exons: 6
Source: RefSeq, a predicted model, not a curated record